GAUGGACGCUGGCGGCGUGCCUAAUACAUGCAAGUCGAGCGAACAGACGAGGAGCUUGCUCCUCUGACGUUAGCGGCGGACGGGUGAGUAACACGUGGAUAACCUACCUAUAAGACUGGGAUAACUUCGGGAAACCGGAGCUAAUACCGGAUAAUAUAUUGAACCGCAUGGUUCAAUAGUGAAAGACGGUUUUGCUGUCACUUAUAGAUGGAUCCGCGCCGCAUUAGCUAGUUGGUAAGGUAACGGCUUACCAAGGCAACGAUGCGUAGCCGACCUGAGAGGGUGAUCGGCCACACUGGAACUGAGACACGGUCCAGACUCCCACGGGAGGCAGCAGUAGGGAAUCUUCCGCAAUGGGCGAAAGCCUGACGGAGCAACGCCGCGUGAGUGAUGAAGGUCUUCGGAUCGUAAAACUCUGUUAUUAGGGAAGAACAAAUGUGUAAGUAACUAUGCACGUCUUGACGGUACCUAAUCAGAAAGCCACGGCUAACUACGUG
RNAcentral lists this ribosomal RNA (497 nucleotides) under uncultured bacterium. RNAcentral's name for it is "partial 16S ribosomal RNA". It matches the Rfam family "Bacterial small subunit ribosomal RNA", at positions 28 to 507 of the family's 1533-position model. The record is from RNAcentral.